CAAUAGCGUAUAUUAAAGUUGUUGCAGUUAAAAAGCUCGUAGUUGGAUUUCGGGGCAGCCUGGCUGGUCCGCCGCAAGGCGAGUACUGGUCAGCCGCCCUUCCUCUCGAAAGCCCCGACUGCUCUUCGUUGCAGUGGUCGGGUAGUUCGGGACGUAUACUUUGAAAAAAUUAGAGUGUUCAAGGCAGGCCUACGCCUGAAUACAUUAGCAUGGAAUAAUGGAAGAGGACCUCGGUCCUAUUUUGUUGGUUUCCAGGGCCGAAGUAAUGAUUAAGAGGGACAGUUGGGGGCAUUCGUAUUUAAUUGUCAGAGGUGAAAUUCUCGGAUUUAUGAAAGACGAACAACUGCGAAAGCAUUUGCCAAGGAUGUUUUCAUUAA
This 377-nucleotide ribosomal RNA is filed under the name uncultured eukaryote. RNAcentral's name for it is "partial 18S ribosomal RNA". It matches the Rfam family "Eukaryotic small subunit ribosomal RNA", at positions 592 to 976 of the family's 1831-position model. The record is from RNAcentral.